Molecule: unclassified non-coding RNA, 305 nt
Filed under: plant metagenome
Description: partial contains 5.8S ribosomal RNA, internal transcribed spacer 2, and large subunit ribosomal RNA
Rfam family: 5.8S ribosomal RNA (bases 1-105)
Source: RNAcentral
GAAAUGCGAUAAGUAGUGUGAAUUGCAGAAUUCAGUGAAUCAUCGAAUCUUUGAACGCACAUUGCGCCCUUUGGUAUUCCUUAGGGCAUGCCUGUUCGAGCGUCAUCUAAACCUUCAAGCCCUGCUUGGUGUUGGGUGCCUGUCCCGCCUCCGCGCGCUGACUCACCUCAAAUCCAUUGGCGGCCCCCGCGUCGGCCACGAGCGCAGCAGAAACGCGAACUCGUGAGCCCGUCCGGGCGGCUCCCAGAAGCUACACCCACCCAGUUUGACCUCGGAUCAGGUAGGGAUACCCGCUGAACUUAAGC